Molecule: ribosomal RNA, 442 nt
Filed under: uncultured bacterium
Lineage: Bacteria
Description: partial 16S ribosomal RNA
Rfam family: Bacterial small subunit ribosomal RNA
Source: RNAcentral
CCUACGGGGGGCAGCAGUAGGGAAUCUUUCACAAUGGGCGAAAGCCUGCUGGAGCAACGCCGCGUGCAGGAUGAAGGUCUUCGGGUUGUAAACUGCUUUUAUAAGCGAGAAAUAUGAUGGUAACUUAUGAAUAAGGCUCGGCUAACUACGUGCCAGCAGCCGCGGUCAUACGUAGGAUCCGAGCAUUAUCCGGAGUGACUGGGUGUAAAGAGUUGAGUAGGUGGCAUAAUAAGUAGCUAGUGAAAUCUGGUGGCUCAACCAUUCAGACUAUUAGCUAAACUGUUAAGCUCGAGAGCGUUAGGGGUAACUGGAAGUUCUAGUGUAGGAGUGAAAUCCGUAGAUAUUAGAAGGAACACCAAUAGCGUAGGCAGGUUACUGGGACGGUUCUGACACUAAGGCACGAAAGCGUAGGGAGCAAACGGGAUUAGAUACCCGAGUAGUC